Molecule: long non-coding RNA, 370 nt
Organism: Sinocyclocheilus rhinocerous
Lineage: Eukaryota; Metazoa; Chordata; Actinopteri; Cypriniformes; Cyprinidae
Exons: 3
Source: RefSeq, a predicted model, not a curated record
UCACUAACAUAUUAUUAACAAAUUAGUGGUGGGGAUUUCGUCAGUGACUCGAAUCGUUUGAAUUGGUUCACUGAAAAGAUUCACUUAGAUUGGUUUACUCAUUCGUUCACAGAACAUUUGUGCAGGUUGUUUGUGUUUGUUAUGAGAGAUUCGGGAAUCAUUUAUGCAAGGUGAAUGGAAAAACUGGGUUUACAGACAGAAAUGGAAUGCAUAGACAUCAGGAGUACCUGACAAACGGUGAUAAUAAAGGUCUCAUGUGUUGUUAGAUGGGGGGAGGAGCCAGUAACGCGAGGUGUUCUUAUACAUCCAUCUUCACUGUGACAUAGAGAACAGAUAGAUGGAAGCCGAAAGCUCUUUGUCACAGUUUGUG